GCCGCGCGGUGCGGGCAGCGGGCGGCAGGCCUGGGGCCUUGCGGCCACACGGCGUCUGCGCACCGCUUCCCCGCGGGGAGAUGGGCUCCAGGGAAGAGCUCGAUAUUUCAGGCCCUGGAGGAGGCAGGGGUGUGUUCUGUCUGAGACCCUUUGCAGGCUGAGAUCUCCGGAUCAUUCACACCAGUGUUCCCAAGCAGCCCGAAGCUGAGAGUUUUCGAACUUGGGCUGCCUUUAAAAACUCUGCCUUUGAAAAACAAAACAAACCAGUCGGGAUGUGUUGUGCAGCGUUGCCAGAACCAUUUAAAAAUACCGUGAACUCCUCAUGUUGUUACUUCUUCCUGCUGCAUUUGUUUGCUUGCAUGAAUGGGAGUACCUCUGAACUUCCUUUCCUUUUUUUACCUGGCAGGCAGGCAAGGGCUGACACGUUUCUGCAUCGGGGUCAGCUGUAUCUGUUGUUCCCAGCGAUGUUUGUUGGAGGCAGGGUGGAAUCAGUGGAGCUGACCUGUGGUUACAGGGGCAGGGGAAGCAGCGUGUGCAAGGGAAGCCGUGACAGGACGUGUUACUCAGCGUUUACACAGCAGUACUCCUCCCUUGAUGAAGCCCCAGUAUUUGCACUUCUGCAAACUGCAGAAAGACACAGGAACUGGUGGUGCUGGCUCUUCUCAAGGUGCAGCGAUGCCCUUUGCCAGCACAGCCAUGUGGCUGGACAGCUUCUGCUCCCUGCCCCACUGCAGGAUGUGAAGGAAGGCAGUUCCUUGGCAGCGCUGGUGCAGACAAACAGCUUUUUGUUGAAGCAGAACCCGUCCCUUUAG
This 812-nucleotide long non-coding RNA is filed under the name Meleagris gallopavo (turkey). Its description in RNAcentral is "lncRNA (ENSMGAG00000020289.1)". The record is from RNAcentral. Lineage: Eukaryota; Metazoa; Chordata; Aves; Galliformes; Phasianidae.